This is a long non-coding RNA of Camelus dromedarius (Arabian camel), 333 nucleotides long. RefSeq lists it as uncharacterized. Lineage: Eukaryota; Metazoa; Chordata; Mammalia; Artiodactyla; Camelidae. The record is from RefSeq and is a predicted model, not a curated record. The transcript has 3 exons.
CACCUCAGCAGGUUCGGGGCUGUACUUCCUCUUUCUCUCAAAGCACCUGGACUCCUUCCCUGGCCAGGCAGGCAGAAGCGGGAGAAAUCCAGGAAGCCUGAAGCACAUCCCUCAUCUUCAGGGAAGAAGAUGAGGACACUGAGGCACAGAGAGGACAGAAGCUUGUCCAAGUUCCUGUCAAUGGUUCACCAGCCCGGGCAGCCUGGCACCAACGCCUGUCCUUUGAGAUCUGAAGGACACCCAGCUCUCCCACUACUUCACCCCCUCUCUGAGCUUCAGCUGCCCGAUCUGUAACGUGGGGCCAAUAACGGUUGGCAUCACAAAGGCUACUGU